Molecule: ribosomal RNA, 250 nt
Filed under: uncultured bacterium
Lineage: Bacteria
Description: partial 16S ribosomal RNA
Rfam family: Bacterial small subunit ribosomal RNA
Source: RNAcentral
UACAGAGGGUGCAAGCGUUAUUCGGAAUUAUUGGGCAUAAAGCGCAUGUAGGUGGUUUGAUAAGUCUGAUGUGAAAUCCCCGGACUCAAUUCGGGAAGUGCAUUGGAUACUGUCAGGCUAGAGUAUGGGAGAGGUGAGCGGAAUUCCAGGUGUAGAGGUGAAAUUCGUAGAUAUCUGGAGGAACAACAGUGGCGAAGGCGGCUCACUGGACCAUUACUGACACUGAGAUGCGAAAGCGUGGGGAGCAAAC